Molecule: ribosomal RNA, 248 nt
Filed under: uncultured Christensenellaceae bacterium
Lineage: Bacteria; Bacillati; Bacillota; Clostridia; Christensenellales; Christensenellaceae
Description: partial 16S ribosomal RNA
Rfam family: Bacterial small subunit ribosomal RNA
Source: RNAcentral
UACGUAGGGGGCGAGCGUUGUCCGGAAUGACUGGGCGUAAAGGGCGUGUAGGCGGCUUUUUAAGUCUGGAGUGAAAGUCCUGCUUUCAAGGUGGGAAUUGCUUAGGAUACUGGAGAGCUUGAGUGCGGAAGAGGUAAGUGGAAUUCCCAGUGUAGCGGUGAAAUGCGUAGAGAUUGGGAGGAACACCAGUGGCGAAGGCGACUUACUGGGCCGUAACUGAUGCUGAGGCGCGAAAGCGUGGGGAGCGA